AGUCUCUAAGAGUGAUUACAGCUGUGAGUCUUUCUGGGUAAGUCUCUAAGAGUGAUUACAGCUGUGAGUCUUUCUGGGUAAGUCUCUAAGAGCUUUGCACACCUGGAUUGUACAAUAUUUGCCCAUUAUUCUUUAAACAAUUCUUCAAGCUCUGUCAAGUUGAUUGUUGAUCAUUAUUAGAUAACCAUAUUCAAGUCUUUCCAUAGAUCUUCAAGCCGAUUUAAGUCAAAACUGUAACUAGACCACUCAGGAAUAUUCAAUAUCUUCUUGGUAAGUAACUAAAGUGUAGAUUUGGCCUUGUUUUAGGUUAUUGUCCUUCUGAAAGGCGAAUUCAUCUCCUCAUUGUCUAUUGGAACACAGACUGAACCAGACUUUCCUCUAGGAUUUUGGCUGUGCUUAUAGCUGUCUACCGUUUAUUUUUAUCCUAAUAACUCCCUAGUCCUUGCCAAUGACAAGCAUACCCAUAACAUGAUGCAGCCACCGCCAUGCUUGAAAAUAUGAAGUGGUACUGAGUGAUGUGUUGUGUUGGAUUUGCCCCAAACAAAACGCUUUAUUCAGGACAAAAAGUUAAUUUCUUUGCCGAAAUGUUUUCAGUAUUACUUAAGUGCCUUGUUGCAAACAGGAUGCAUGUUUUGGAGUAUUUUUAUUCUGUACAGGCUUUUUUAAAUCUGUCAUUUAGGUUAGUAUUAUGGAGUAACUAUGGAGUAACUACAAUGUUUAUCCAUCCUCAGUUGUUUUCUCCUAUCACAGUCAUUACACUCUGUAACUGUUUUAAGGUCACCAUUGGCUUCAUGGUGAAAAUCCUGAGCGGUUUCCUUCCUCUCCGGCAACUGAGUUAGGAAGGACGUCUGUAUCUUUGUAGCGACUGGGUGUAUUGAUACACCAUCCAAAGCCUAAUUAUAACUUCACCUUGCUCAAAGGGAUAUUACACAUUUUACCCAUCUACCAACCGGUGCCCUUCUUUGCGAGGCAUUGAAAAAUCUCCUUGGUCUUUGUGGUUGAAUAUGUGUUUGAAAUUCACUGCUCGAUUGAGGGACCUUACAAUUAUCUGUAUGUGUUGGGGUACAGAGAUGAGGUAGUCAUUUAAAAAUCAUGUUAACCAAUAUUAUUGAACACGGAAUGAGUCCAUGCAACUUAUUAUGAGAUUUGUUAAGCACACUUUUACUCCUGAACUUAUUUAGGCUUACCAUAAAGGGGUUGAAUACUUAUUGACUCAAGACAUUUCAGCUUAAAAUGUUUUAUUAAUAAAUAAAAAAUUAGACUAACAAAAUUCCACUUUGACAUUAUGGGGUAUUGCGUGUAGAUCAGGUAUUGUGUAUUACAUUGUAAUUCAGACUGUAAACCAUUUAAAAUUCAGACUGUAAACCAUUUUAAAAUCAGACUGUAAACCAUUUUAAAAUCAGACUGUACACCAUUUUAAAAUCAGACUGUACACCAUUUUAAAAUCAGACUGUAAACCAUUUUAAAUUCAGACUGUAAACCAUUUUAAAAUCAGACUGUAAACCAUUUUAAAUUCAGUCUGUAAACCAUUUUAAAUUCAGGCUGUAACAACACAAUGUGGGAGAAGUUAAAAAGGUGUGAAUCCUUUCUGAAGGCCACUGUACAUACAACCGUUGCUAUGGGACCAAGAACAUUGCUACAGUACUGUGUUGUUUAUAGCACACUUAUUUAUACUGUAUCACACUGUAGAUAUAUGCCACUCAGAAAGCAUGCAGGACAUUAUUAAGGUCAUUACGGUAAGAUUAUAAAUUAACCAUAUGAAAUAAAGAUGAGAGGAAUAUUAAAACAGGGAUUUUACCACUGAGGAAGUCACGUGGUCUGUAUGACUAAUUUGGACUAGAUAUAUACCUUAUUCAUCACUGACUCCAUCCAAUCUACGUCCCACAUAAAGUAUUCUAUUGUGGACCCUUCAAUUUCUACCCUACUCAGUGAUAUUCUGAUAUAACAAUGUAAUAUUUAAGUCCGGAACAGACUAUCCUAAGGCUUUGUGAACUUUUGAGCGCUGUGCUUUAAUAUGCAAAAAACAGGUUACUAUACAAUACAUUGUCCUGACUGACACUGCUGUAUCCAUCACUGAUAUCCAUUCACAUCUUAAUAACUGCCAAAUACAUUACACUACAUUUUGUUUGGUCUGGAAAUGACUUUUGUAAAACUGUGUUGUCUGUCACCUUAAAAAAAAAAAAGACUUGAAAAGUGAUUAAAGAUCCAGGGUGAAUGUCGGAUGUGUUGUUGUGGUUAUAGUGAGCUGUUUGUCAAAUGGCAUCCUACUCGUCAUACUGUCUAGUGCACUACUUUUGACCAGGGCCCAUGAGCUCAGGGUCCAUAGGGUUAGGGCCCAUAGAGGUCAGGGCCCAUAGAGGUCAGGGCCCAUAGGGUUAGGGCCCAUAGAAGUCAGGGCCCAUAGAGGUCAGGGCCCAUAGAGGUCAGGGCCCAUAGAGGUUAGGGCCCAUAGAGGGCAGGGCCCAUAGGGUUAGGGCCCAUAGAGGUCAGGGCCCAUAGGGUUAGGGCCCAUAGAGGUCAGGGCCCAUAGAGGUCAGGGCCCAUAGGGUUAGGGCCCAUAGGGUUAGGGCCCAUAGAGGUCAGGGCCCAUAGGGUUAGGGCCCAUAGGGUUAGGGCCCAUAGAGGUCAGGGCCCAUAGAGGUCAGGGCCCAUAGGGUUAGGGCCCAUAGAGGUCAGGGCCCAUAGGGUUAGGGCCCAUAGAGGUCAGGGCCCAUAGGGUUAGGGCCCAUAGAGCUCAGGGCCCAUAGGGUUAGGGCCCAUAGAGGUCAGGGCCCAUAGAGGUCAGGGCCCAUAGGGUUAGGGCCCAUAGAGCUCAGGGCCCAUAGGGUUAGGGCCCAUAGGGUUCAGGUCAAAAGUAGUGCACUACAUGGGGAAUAAGUAGGGUGCCACCUGGGGGACACAAUUCAUGUUGAAGUAGAUGGUUUCCUUCAGAGCUCUGGUCCUGUAUCUCUCCUUAGCCCGAAAAGCAACUCUGUUUUCUAUUGAAGUUUGUAAAAUAAGCGCUUUGAAAUAAAAUAACAAAUGAUAUCUCAUACUCUAGCCUGCUCUGGAAAUGUUUAAAAAUGCAAUUAUCGAUGAAUGAAAGCUUGCAUUACAUUACCCCAUUGAUUAAAGAUUAUAUUACUGAGAAUAGAUUUUUUCAUGUCAAUUGACUUCUUAACUUCGCAUGUUUCCCAAAUGGCACCCUAUUCUCUACAUAGGGCACUACUUUUGACUAGAGCACUAUGGCCCCUGGUUAAAAGUAGUGCACUUUGGGAAUAGGGUGCCAUUUGGGUUGCUGCCCAUUAAAUAAGCCUUGUGUUUUGAUUGUGUAACUGAAGGUCAGGGCUGUAGUUGAUCCCUGGACUAGUGGGUCUCAUCUUUACAAGCAUUUUGCUACACUCGCAAUAAUCAUUUGCCAACCAUUUAUAUGUGACCAAUAAAAUUUGAUUUGAAA
This is a long non-coding RNA of Oncorhynchus tshawytscha (Chinook salmon), 3436 nucleotides long. The record is from Ensembl. NCBI's taxonomy places the organism in Eukaryota, Metazoa, Chordata, Actinopteri, Salmoniformes, Salmonidae.